UUUAGAGCAUGAUGAACCCAGCCGUUAGCAGGAAGGCGGCACAACAACGUCAGCGGCGCACCUACAGAGUGAGAAGAGAUAUUUUCGCUGAGUACGACGAUGCUGAGUUACUGAAAAGAUUCAGAUUGGACCGUGCUGGUAUUGUUGCAGUGACUGAUAUAGUGAGAGACAAGCUGCAAAGUAAAACUGAAAGAAAUAGAGCCUUGACCCCUGAGAUGGUGGCCAUCACAUUACGAUAUUUAGCCACAGGAAAAAUGCAACAGUGCAGUUGUGAUGAUUUUGGAACAACGCAGCCCACUAUCAGCCGUGCAAUAUCACAGACAAUUGAUGCACUGGCUGACCCAGAAGUAAUCUGCCAGUUCGUGGCUUUCCCUCACACCCAGCGUGAAGUGCAGCAAAAACAGGCAGAGUUCAUGCAAGUAACUCAGUUUCCCGGUGUUGUGGGAGUGAUUGAUGGUACUCAUAUAAGAAUUGUGUCUCCUCAUGUCGAUGAACAUGUAUAUGUGAACAGGAAACGCUAUCACAGCAUAAAUGUGCAAGUAGUAUUUGAUGCUCACUAUAAGAUUCUUGACAUUGUGGCAAGGUGGCCUGGCUCAGUCAACGAUGCAAGAAUACUAGAUAAGUCAGCACUCAAACUGAUGUUUGAGGAACAACAUGUACCUGCAGGAUGCUACCUUCCCGGGGACAGUGGCUAUCCCUGUAAGCAGUGGCUCCUCACUCCUUACCUUCGCCCUCAAACUGUUGCACAAGCUAAUUAUAACAGUUCCAGUACCUUACGAUGCAGCCGAGGGGACUGACGCCACCACCACCACUGCCACCACCGCCACAACAAGGGUUAUUCAAAUGGGGAACAUGCUUCAGGUGUUGCCCCAAGAUGCCUCAGCCCCGCAGCCCCACUUCCCCAUGAUAGUGCAGGCAGGGAAUGUCAUACAGGUUGUUCCAGCUGACAACACGCAGGUAUUAGGGGCAGAAGUCGUUGGAGUUGGUCGGGUCAUGCAAGUGGUCGGAGUCCCAGGCUUUCCCCCGACCCCAGCCCCAGACCCCUGCCCCAGCCACCCCUCUCCCUGUGACCCCUGCCCAGUCAUCCCUCACCCCCUCCUGCCCCCUGCGGUGCUGCCAGCGGGGGUGAUGGGAGGUGGAGGUGGGCCACACACACCUGGGUUAGCUGUGGCUUGGCUUAUCUCCCUCCUCAGCAGCAAAUCCCGAGGAUCAACGAGGACAUGGUGGACCCAGAGAUUGCAGCAGCAGCAAGAGAGAGAGAGAGAAGCAAGAGAGGAGGGAGAGGAAGGAGAGGAGGAGGAGAGAGAGGGAGGCCAGGAGGGAGGCACGUCAGAGAGAGAGGGAGAGGAAGAGGUUGAUUCUGUUACAACAACAACUGCAACAACAACAACAGUUAGUCAGUGAGGAGGGGGAGGGGCCGUCCUCUGAUGCUGAGGAUGAGGUAUUGUUCAGGGAGGCCAUGUCGGAGGUGCCGGUGGUGGGGUCGCCAGUUCCGGAGUACGAGGUGGAGGAGGAAAAGGAAGAGGAGGACGAGGAGGAGGCACGGAUAAGGAAGAAGAAAAGAUUAUUACCUGUAGCCCUCCCUCCAGCUGAUAAGGGGAUAUUAAGGAGCCCUUCCUACAGGUUCGUUCGAUGCAAGGAGUUGGCACAGGAGGCGUCCGAGGCUGUGUAGAGCGGCCGUCUGAACCUGGUGCCACAGCUUACUAUGUUCAACAGGUGCGUGUGUGUGUGUGUGUGUGUGUGUGUGUGUGUGUGUGUGUGUGUGUGUGUGUGUGUGUGUGUGUUUUGUGUGGUCAUUUCACUAUCUAUCUAUCUGUUUAGUUUGUCUCCAUCUGUCUGUCUUUCUGUCAUUGGUCUGUCUGUCUGUCUGUGUAUUGCAAUGAUUUUUCAGUUAUGUAUUUUAUUUUUUAUUCUUGUGUACUUGUGUCUGUCUGUAUGUAUGUAUGUAUCAGUCAGUGAGUCAGUCAGUCAGUCACUCAGUUAGUCAGUUAGUCAGUCAUUCAGUCAGUCAGUUAGUCAGUCAUUCAGUCAGUUAGUGAGUUAGUCAGUUAGUCAGUCUGUCAGUCACUCACACAGUGUUAAUCCUCCUCUUCCUCCUCCUCCUCCUCCUCCUCCUCCUCCUCCUCCUCCUCCUCCUCCUCCUCCUCCUCCUCCUCCUCCUCCUCCUCCUCCUCCUCCUCCUCCUCGUCCACCUCCUCCUCCUCCUCCUCCUCCUCCUCCUCCUCCUCCUCCUCCUCCUCCUCCUCCUCCUCCUCCUCCUCCUCCUGUUCCCCACCACCCCUGCCGAGAGGUGAGUGUAUGUACGUGUGUGUGUGUGUGUGUGUGUGUGUGUGUGUGUGUGUAGUAAUAAUAGUAAUGCUAUGUACAUAUAUAAAUACUGUUAAUAUUAUUGAUAAAAAAUAUUGAUGAUGAUGAUGAUGAUGAUUCAGUGGUGAUUAUGAAAAUGUGCAUUACAAUAUAGGGUAGAUAUUAUUGUUAUUACCUGUGUGUGUGUGUGUGUGUGUGUGUGUGUGUGUGUGUGUGUGUGUGUGUGUGUGUGUGUGUGUGUGUGUGUGUGUGUGUGAGGAAUAAUUGAAUAAUUGAAUAAUUGAUGCUCUCUCCUUUGCUAUUCAUUAUAUACAUGGACAGAUGCCUGAAGGAAGUGUGUGUAAGGGAGGAUAAAGAGAUCAUGCUGGCCUAUGCAGACGAUGUCGCUGUCGUGACAGGAAGCCAACAAGAUCUUCAAGAGGCCAUGACAAGAUGGAAUGAUGUUUUAAAUAGGGAAGGAAUGAGAAUGAACAAACAAAAAACUUAUUUACUAGUGGACAAGCAACAAGUGAUGGUGUGGCUCUGAGCCACUGUAGUAGGGAUGUUAUGGUUUAAGUGUAGGAAGUUGCAAAUGCUCACCUAACAAUUGCACCUUAGUAGAAAAACACAAACAGGAAGUUUAUGCAAGUUUUUAUCCUUAUAUAAAAUGUUGUAUUGCAUCAAACCUCCAUACAUUACUGUCUCUAUCCAGUAUGAGACCGGUGUUCAGGAAGCACAAGCAUGUGCUGAAUAACAAGAAGCCGGCAUUGGUGAAGGUGACAACAUUUCAUCUAUUUAUACAUACUUUUUAUUAUUAAAGCUUAUCUUAUAAUUAUUUCUGAAGAGAUUGACUAAUUUUUGUAGUAUUUAUGACUUAGAACUAUGAUAAAGCUAUGAAUUGAUAUAAUUCCUGAUUUG
Long non-coding RNA from Scylla paramamosain (green mud crab), 3204 nucleotides. RefSeq lists it as uncharacterized. The transcript is spliced from 6 exons. The record is from RefSeq and is a predicted model, not a curated record. Lineage: Eukaryota; Metazoa; Arthropoda; Malacostraca; Decapoda; Portunidae.